Molecule: long non-coding RNA, 2027 nt
Organism: Salvia splendens (bonfire salvia)
Lineage: Eukaryota; Viridiplantae; Streptophyta; Magnoliopsida; Lamiales; Lamiaceae
Exons: 12
Source: RefSeq, a predicted model, not a curated record
UCUCUCUCAAUCAUCUUUUAACUUUUCAUCGUCUGAUUCAUUCCUCCUCAACGUCUCAUAUCCCAACUAUAUAUACUUCUCAAAUGGUAUAGUGUAUUCUCUGAAAAAACCAACUCUUUUCACGUUCUUUUCUUCCAACGCUUCUACCAAUAUCAAGCGAAAAAUGGGUAAACACAUGAUGAUCGCUUGCUUCCUCAUACUCUUGUGUACACUUGAAGUCAUCUGCUCAGAGCAAGUCAAAUUCACUUUGCUACACUCGGCUGUUCCAAAAGGAGCAGGUAAUUAUAUGAUACGUGAAUAUCUCCAAGAAUAUCACCAAAUCUCUCUUAGUUAGUUUAACAUUGAUUUAGCAUUAUCUUUCAUAUCUUUUGCUUAUUAUAAAUAGGGUUAUUGUGAUUCUCUUUAAUCAAUCAAUGAAAUAACAUAUCAUUUUCCUCAAUUUACCGUUUUCCCUAUUUCCUUGUUCUUUACGUUUCUGCAAAACCUUAAAUCGGAGCUGAUCUCAAGGAAAGCUUGAGACGUCCGCCGCUUAUUUCUCAUCGUCGAUCACUCGUCGACGUCGUUAUCUUGUUAAGGGGGUAAAUCCCUUUAACAAUUGGUGCUUUCAUUGUCGUCCUCAUGGCUCGUUACACCGAGUCGUCCUCCCUCGAUCAGAUUAAGGUGAUGUUCGAGCAUAUGCUGGCAGGUAUGGCUCGGCUAGAGACUCGCAUGGACGAGUAUUAUCGCCGCCAAUCCUCACGCCAUACGCUGCGACCGGAUCCGGAGCCACCGACUUAUAUAAGUAUUUUGUAAAUAUUGGAGUAAUAAUUUUUACUCAUUAAUUAGAUUAUUAUUUUAGUCUGUUUAGAUGGAACUCCACCAGCAUAUGCCUACAGUGAGGGAUUUGGAGAUGGAUCUACAAACUGGCUCGUUUUCUUGGAGGGCGGUGCAUGGUGUGAUUUCGAGAAAGAGACACAAGCUGUCAAAACAGGUCAAAAUCCUAUUUAGGAAGCACCGGCGAUGAAUUUUUUAAAAAAGAGACACCAUUUAACGGAAUACUUGACUCAGAUUGUCAAUUUAAUCCUGAUUUUUAUAACUGGCAUAAAGUUUAUGUUCACUACUGUGAUGGCUCGUUGUUUAUGUCGGACGUCGACCAAGUUGAUCCUACUAACAAGCUCACAUUCCGAGGUGGGAGGAUCUAUAAUGCUGUAAUGGAGGAGCUGCUCGACAAAGGAAUGAGGAAUGCUCAAAAUGCUAUCUUGACGGGAAUGUCAGCAGGUGGAUUAAGCACAAUCCUGCAUUGUGAUAGAUUUCGAGCUCUGUUUCCAAAUACUAUAAGAGUGAAGUGUAUAUCAGAUAGUGGAUUUUUUAUUCGCGGGGAAGGUGAAUUGGCAAACCAAUCAGGAGGCAUUUUGCUCAAGUGAUUGCUGCAAAUGGACUUGGUGCAUUAUUGCCUAAAUCAUGCACGUCUAAAAGGGACCCCAGUUUGUGUCUCUUCGCCGAGUAUCUGGUUGAAGAUGUUGCCACUCCACUCUUUAUAGUUGAAUCAGCUUUUGAUACAUACCAGAUUAAGAGCAACUUCAUAUUAACUGUUCCUGGUCUGGAUCCAACGCAAUGGGUUAGUUAGUUGUUCUGCAUAUAGCAUGGAACGGUGCACUGCUGCACAAAUAGGAAUCAUAAAAGAUUUUGGACCUAUUUUCAAGAAGACAUUAAUGAAACUCGAUAAGUCUUCGAGUAGAGGGAUAUUUUUGGAUUCAUGCUAUCUUCAUACGCAUAUCUUGCAAAGAUAUAAUUGGAUGACAUCACCAGUACUUCAAAAUAGAACUGUACGGGAAGCUAUUGGUGAUUGGUUCUAUGAUCGAAGUACAUUUCAAGAGAUAGAUAGUCUUAAUUUAUAUCCACAAUCAUGUACUCCUAAAUAAUUGAUCGGGUCUUAUUAUUUGAUUAUUCUUAUUAUGUAUAUGAUAGAGACUUAGCAAAGUAUAUUCCUUACAUUAUUGUAAUUGUAAUCUGCACUAGUAUAAUUAAUUUGAUUUUUGUCUUGUAAA